Molecule: long non-coding RNA, 349 nt
Filed under: Mytilus galloprovincialis (Mediterranean mussel)
Lineage: Eukaryota; Metazoa; Mollusca; Bivalvia; Mytilida; Mytilidae
Source: RNAcentral
GAAACCAGGUUGAAAUAGAACAAAAGAAUCGAAGCUCUUUGUUAGAGAAGGCGAUAAAUGCUUACUGUAAUGUUUACUAUAGUGACAAAAAUUUAAAAGUUAAUAGAAACAAACAAAAUUACAAUUUUCUUCUCAAUUACGAAGUGUUUUAUUUUGAAAACACCAUUUGCAUAAGUUUUCAAUUUAUUCAGUACAUAGUUAAGCAGAACAAUUAGAUAUCAAGUCGACGACAUGGGUCUCUUUCAAGUUGGAUGUAGAAAAUGCAUAACCUCCGAUUUUUUUUAAAAAAUUUACCACGGACGGAAAACAUAUCAAUCUAUUAGUUCAGUAAUUUUCGUGUCUGCCCUUC